This is a non-coding RNA of Podarcis raffonei (Aeolian wall lizard), 638 nucleotides long. NCBI's taxonomy places the organism in Eukaryota, Metazoa, Chordata, Lepidosauria, Squamata, Lacertidae. The record is from the annotation of a RefSeq genome assembly.
GCUGAGUCCCUUUUUGUUUUGUACUAAGAAAGAAACGAAGAAAGAAAGAAAGAAAGAAAGAAAGAAAGAAAGAAAGAAAGAAAGAAAGAAAGAUGAGUUUCCCAUUGCUUUUUUUCAUUCUCCUGAGCUUCUCUCCUGGUACGUAUUCCACUCUACAGAUAAUUGAGUCUGGUCCAGGACUGGUGAAGCCCGGAGACUCCUUCAAGCUGACCUGUGCAGUUUCUGGGGUUCAAGUUGGUGAUUAUUAUUGGAAUUGGAUCCGGCAGCCUCCAGGGAAGGGUCUGAAAUGGAUGGGGGAUAUUGAGGACACGGAUGAUGGUGCUGGCACUACAUACAGCCCAACAUUUGGAAGUCGAAUCAGCAUCACCAGGGACACCUCCAAAAAUGAAGUAUAUCUUCAGUUGAGGUCCCUGGAAACUGCAGACACAGCAGUAUACUACUGUGCGCGGCACAGAGGUUAUCAGCUUUGUUCCUAUGUGAAAAAAUCUACCGUUCACCUACAAGAUCUAAUUGAGGAGGAAAAUAAUCUGAACAUGACUGAAGUUUGUGCACAGGAAUGUAGCACGGUGCGACAGUAUGGAGGCUACCACAGUAACAAACACCAUGCCAAAAACUCUGACCAAUCAAACAUCCUGUAG